UCCCCAACGAAAAGCCCCUUGAUGAAUGUUGGUGACAAAUUGUUGAAAUAUAAAUCCUUUAGAAUACAAACAUUUCAUGAGUUUUUGUAAUACGUGUCUUAUCCUGAUUGGUUCUAAUGGCUGAGUUUACGGUGGUAGCGCCCGUAGAGGAUAAUUCUUUACACUACCGGAGAGAAUUGGGUUUGGAGAUAAGAAGAAGAGAGGGGGAACUUCAUCAAUGGCUUUUGUUGUAGCCUCGGCUUCGUUGCGUUUAUGGAAUCCCAAUGGCAAAACCGGCGUUACUUCGCUCUGUCUGCGUAAUGGUUCAAUGAGAGAGAGAGAGUCAGAGUGUUCUCUCAGCUCUUCCGCUUCUUGGCAGUUUCUCCACUGCUCGUUUCUCUCUUCACCUCUCUCGGCUAGCUUCACCAUUUUCUGGUUCAAUGGUUAUAGGUUUUCCGCACAAAUUGCUUCAAAGCGUCAGAUGAACUUGUCCUCCUCCCUUGAUCAUAACUUUGUUGUAAAGUUUAUUGUAACUAGCCUCUAAGAGUUGUGCAGUUAAUAUAAGCUUUGCCAGUUUAGCAGAAACAGACCUUAGCUCAAGGGUCAUUUUGGAUUGUCUAGGUCUUGGUUCUGGGCAGUGUGUCAAGAGUUAAGGGUAUACUCUAAUUGAUCAAGUCUCUAGUAUUAUUGUAUGAUGUGGAAUGAAUGGCCAGAGACGCAGAGGUGAGAGCUGGAAAAGCUGCUCUGUGUCAAACAUAGAGAAGCAGAUCAAGAAAAUCUCUGGCUAGGACUCAUGGUUUCCGCAGGAGGAUGCGGACCACUAGGGGUAGAGCGUGUCAAGGGACGCUGGAACCUCUGUCCUAAGUCCAACCCUAGCAGUGGCAAACAGUCUUGAGUGUUCUUUCUCUUCUCACUAAUCUGUAAUCUUGUUUGUGUUGCCAGAAGAUACAAUGAGAGAAACAUGAUUGAUGAUGAUUAUAUGAGCUCUUUUCUUCGUUUAGAUCUUAUGUAUUCUUGAUCUGUUGUUAUAAGUCAAUGUUCAUGGAAUCCAUCUCA
Molecule: long non-coding RNA, 1035 nt
Organism: Camelina sativa (false flax)
Lineage: Eukaryota; Viridiplantae; Streptophyta; Magnoliopsida; Brassicales; Brassicaceae
Source: RefSeq, a predicted model, not a curated record